Molecule: long non-coding RNA, 1030 nt
Organism: Bombus impatiens (common eastern bumble bee)
Lineage: Eukaryota; Metazoa; Arthropoda; Insecta; Hymenoptera; Apidae
Exons: 2
Source: RefSeq, a predicted model, not a curated record
UUACGUAACUUUCACUACCGCGUACAAAGCAGACGCGAGAAUGUAGCGAUAUUCUUAAACGUUUAAGAACCAUCCAAUCUGCGUCAUAUGUAAGAAAUAAUACGACAGAAGUAAAAAGCAUCUGCGUUAAGAAAACCGAUAUUUUUUAAGGAAUAAUUGGAACACGGUCAUUCGACGAACCGAACGUUGGCAGAGAGCUGGGAUUCUUGCUCGUUUGUUCGUUGUUGUAAAUUUAGAUCCACGGUACGCCUGGUUCCACGAACGUACACGCCUUACCAACGACGACAGAUGGAAACGAGAAGAAAGGAAAACAGCCUCCAGGCUAGCGAAUAUCCUCUGUCGCGCACGCGAUUAGUCGCAAAAGACGAAUAAUCUCCUGAUAAGCCGAUAAGAAUAAAUAACGGACAUGAGUUUAAGACUACUGUUAUAGAACUAGAUAUAUUCGUGGCGAAAUAUCAAUAGUGACCGACGUCGUGAUAAUGUUUGUUCGAAUUUCAGAAUAGGAAAAAACACAUUUUCUCUUCCGGUAUAAAUUAUCCCCACCUUUGUGUGCUACUAUCAUGGUCCAGAUAAUGAAGAAUCGUGCCAGGAAUUUCAAGGGUUAAUUAAAAGAUUAACGUGGUACAUGAGAAGAUCGGACUGGCAGGUUUGUUGAGAAAUAGGGCGAAUGAUGGUCCAAAUGUCAUACGAGAAAUGAUAGACACCGUUUUAGAAAGCAAGAAGGAAGAGCAAGGAGAAGAAAUGAACUACAGAGACUGCGGAGAAAACGGGAAAAUUAGACACGUAAUGUCUCAUUUUGUCUUUGUCCAUACGCCAUUUGAGAUAAUCUCUUGUGGAAUUUAAAAUGAAUCGAUGUAAUAUUUACAUCGACACAUUAUAUACAAAAAUUUAAUGAUAUAUGAAUUUAGUAACUUAAAAAUGAAUUUAUAUGCAUCAAGUAAUAGAUAAUAAUUAAGGAAUAAAUUAUUAUUACCGACAGUUCUUCCUCAAUUUAAUGGAAGAUACAAUACAAUCAUCAACAUGAUAAGUA